UGCCCUAGUAACGGCGAGUGAAGCGGCAACAGCUCAAAUUUGAAAUCUGGCUCUUUCAGGGUCCGAGUUGUAAUUUGCAGAGGGCGCUUUGGCGUUGGCAGCGGUCCAAGUUCUUUGGAACAGGACGUCACAGAGGGUGAGAAUCCCGUACGUGGUCGCUAACCUUCGCCGUGUAAAGCCCCUUCGACGAGUCGAGUUGUUUGGGAAUGCAGCUCUAAAUGGGAGGUAAAUUUCUUCUAAAGCUAAAUACUGGCCAGAGACCGAUAGCGCACAAGUAGAGUGAUCGAAAGAUGAAAAGCACUUUGGAAAGAGAGUCAAAUAGCACGUGAAAUUGUUGAAAGGGAAGCGCUUGCAGCCAGACUUGCCUGUAGUUGCUUAUCCGGACUUUUGUCCGGUGCACUCUUCUGCAGGCAGGCCAGCAUCAGUUUGGGCGGUUGGAUAAAGGUCUCUAUCACGUACCUCCCUUCGGGGUUGGCCUUAUAGGGGAGACGUCAUGCAACCAGCCUGGACUGAGGUCCGCGCAUCUGCUAGGAUGCUGGCGUAAUGGCUGUAAGCGGCCCGUCUUGAAACACGGACCAAGGAGUCUAACAUCUAUGCGAGUGUUUGGGUGUCAAGCCCAGACGCGUAAUGAAAGUGAACGGAGGUGGGAACCUUUUAGGUGCACCAUCGACCGAUCCUGAUGUCUUCGGAUGGAUUUGAGUAAGAGCAUGGCUGUUGGGACCCGAAAGAUGGUGAACUAUGCUUGAAUAGGGUGAAGCCAGAGGAAACUCUGGUGGAGGCUCGCAGCGGUUCUGACGUGCAAAUCGAUCGUCAAAUUUG
RNAcentral lists this ribosomal RNA (819 nucleotides) under Wojnowiciella eucalypti. Its description in RNAcentral is "eukaryotic LSU rRNA". It matches the Rfam family "Eukaryotic large subunit ribosomal RNA", at positions 76 to 913 of the family's 3401-position model. The record is from RNAcentral. Lineage: Eukaryota; Fungi; Ascomycota; Dothideomycetes; Pleosporales; Phaeosphaeriaceae.